This 29-nucleotide non-coding RNA is filed under the name Bombyx mori (domestic silkworm). Lineage: Eukaryota; Metazoa; Arthropoda; Insecta; Lepidoptera; Bombycidae. The record is from RNAcentral.
GAAAGCGUACUUUCCUCCCCGAUCGAGUC